GUAGUUUUCCCUGUACAAGCUCUCGCCUGCCGCCAUGUAAACGUUCUUUGCUCCUGCUUCGUCUUCUGCCGUGAUUGUGAGGCCUCCCCAGCCAUGUGGAACUACUCAUCACUCACUGCAGAUGUUACUUUAAGACAUUCUGGAGCAGCGUCAUGUGCAGGAACAAUAAGGAAGUGAGUGCUUUUGUAAUUCCUGAACAACUGUGUCUUACACUUACUAAGUUCUCUUGCCUGCCACCAUGUAAGAUAUGCUUUUACUCUUCCGCCUUCCACCGUGACUGUGAGGCCUCCCCAGCCAUGUGAAACUGCCUUUGAGCUUAUACUGAAUUAUACCACCAGCUUUCCUAGGUCUUGAAGCUUACAGACAGCAGAUCUUGGGACUUCUCAGGCACCAUAAUCAAUCAUAGAUAAAUGAUCCAAUGAUUCGGAACUUGAAAAGUGGUAGCUUUAUGAAUUCUCCUUAAGAAGAAACCUGUGCCCUGAUCUUGCCUACUCACCCAAAGGCACUGUGAGAUAGCAUCAAAGGAACAGCUAGUAAGAGACACAGAGCCAGAAAUCAGGGAAGUAAAAUACACUUGACAUCUACGUUCGGAAAGAAAUUUUAGGAGGCAGAAGCAAAUGGAUCAGAAGCUGCUUAUAUUUUUGCAAGAUUACCAAAGAAACCAUUGGUGGAGAAAGUUCUGUGACCAACUUGUCUGAGUCUAGUAAGAUUGAACGCUCACACACAAGUUUCAUGAAGUGGGUUUGAUACUUACAGAUAAGCAGCAAGGACCAACAGAAGCUGAUGAUCUAUGGUGAACUUUUUCCCAAGGCUCCGGAAAGCUGCCUAAAGUAGAUGGAGUCUUCUCUGUGUGUGCCCCACUGGUCCUGCAGUUGAAGGAUCCGGUAAAGCAGCCUGCCCUUGGUUUUAUACUCCAGAGGAACGUGAUUCGCUGGACUAAAGCAUUGAAGUGCAUCCUGUUUCCGGGGGGCACUGGAACAGAGCCUGGUCUGUUCUAGCCAGUCCCUUUCUAUCUCAGGAUAACAUUCUACAGUUAUUCUUGAGAACUAUAAUCAAAUAAGCAGGGAGAACUGGGAAAGCAGAGGCUCAUUGUGGAACCCUCAAGGAGCAUGGGGUCGUCUUCAUCCCUCAGUUUAUAAAUGGCCAAGGAGAGUAAUGCAACAAAAACUUCUCAGAGUUAAAAGCCAGAGUUCCUAAAGAACCGUGGACAAAGGGUUCUGUCUAGUGGGCAGAAUUCAUCCAGCGAAGGUGCUUACUGCACUCCCAGCAUGUGCUUGGGAACUUUAUUAAAAUUCCUUCCUAUUGAGAUUUAAAUUGCUGUCCAGAAUUAUACAAUAUAAUGAAUGGGGGCAUUCAUUAUGUGUAUUCUAUGCCUUCUCCAUCAUUGCAUAUUCAGUCCUCGUGCUAGAGAGAGGCAGAUAAUCUACCUUUUAAAUUGAUAGGUCUCCUAACUACAGAGGGUCACAUCUGGAUCUGAUGGCACCUACAGAACUUGGACUCUGAGCGACAAUCAGUGACCAGGUGUGACUUUAUAUUAUCUCUGUCAGGGAAGGGUGAGAGUUUUCAAUGUGUGAACAUAGAAUAAAAUGGUCUGGUGACCAAAAGGCUCUAUUAAAGAUAAUAUGAGAUGUUCAAAA
RNAcentral lists this long non-coding RNA (1637 nucleotides) under Homo sapiens (human). RNAcentral describes it as "long intergenic non-protein coding RNA 2241". Lineage: Eukaryota; Metazoa; Chordata; Mammalia; Primates; Hominidae. The record is from RNAcentral.